AAAUGAAAACGUCCGGAGUUUCUUCCAGUGGCCCACAGCUUAUAUUGCUGAUUGUUUAGGGCUUUUCUUCCACCCACCCCAUACAUUCCCAUCCCAAAUAUUUUCUUCUGCAAAAAACAAAAACCGUACUGGACACGUUGGUUAUUACUUGAUUCUACAGAUUCUCAAAGACACUCGCACAAAACGUGCUUCCUAAAAGCGUCCCAAAAAAACAUCCCCAACCCACAUUUAGAGAAGGGUGGGUGUCCAUCGUCCCCUCCCUAUCUUUUUUUUUUUACUUUUUUUUUAAACUCUCCGGAGAAUCUUUUCAUCAGCUUCCCAGCCUGCCACUCACUCAUCAAGGUAAGUCACUUCCAGAUUUUGUCACCCUCUUUUCCAGGCGCGCGUGGUAAAUUUAGCGCAAUUAAGCUGUUAAAGGGGUCUAAGUGUGGGUGAGAUUGGAGGUGAGGGGGGGCAGUUUAGCUUUUGCACUUAAUCGCUGGAGUGGGGUGAUGUGUGGAGAGAGGGGGGGGACAGAUCUGCUGUUUCUUUAUUCAAAAGAUGGUGAGGGCCUAGAGAAGCAUUUGUUGUUUCAAAACAUUAUUUAAAAUACACUUAUAAUGCUCCUUAUGGAGAGAGAAUUCCUGGCUGGUGGUGGGGCACGCACCCCAUUCACUUCCCUCUGUUACCCCGUUUCCUUUUAAAAUGCUUUUUUUAAAAAAAAUAUUGUUGUCCCUUUUUCAAAAGAAAACUUGAGAUCCCAAUCUAAGAUCCUUCUGGGAAGGGCGAAUUGCAAGCAGACGUUAGCAGCCUAUGGGGCGCCUCACACAUCUGUGAGACCCAAGGAGAGCAAUUUCACUUCAGGAACAGUUUCUAUCCUGUUUUCACUCCCUGAUAAAAGAAGACGUAGGGUGGCAAGCUUUGUGUGGUGUGUGAAGGAGAAGUUAAGAAAAAAAUCCAGUCUUCGCAAUUGCAACAGAAAUGACUCCUGCCUGGGACACACAAGCACGGAUAUCUCCAGAUACAACGUGGGGGGUGGAAGGAAGAGGGAAUGGUACAUUUAUGUCCCACCCAAGUCUCUUUGCAACUAGAAGACAGAACGAACCUUAUUGAAAUGAAUUGAGAUGGUGGUGAAGGACAGCCAGUCUCAUCAAAAGGGUGUGCUGGUUUAAUGCUGCAAUCCUAAAGGCACUGACAACAAACUAGUGCGUUCCAUCGAAUUCCAGAGGUCUAUAGAUAAAUUGUUUUGGGGGUUUUAGGAUAGGGUUUAGGAUAGGAUGUGUUAUAAAGAGGUGGAUUAUCGAGGGAGCCGAUUUGAUAGGAAAGGGAUCGAGUAAAAAUCGGUGCCCCUGCUUGCCUGUCGACCGCAUCGUCUCAGAAACCAACGCAAUGUGCAAUACAAUAAAAUAGAUUUUUUAAAAAGAAAACCACACUGUAGAGAUAAACUCAAAGGAAAAACACUGACUUCUUCUUGUCUGCGAUGAGAUCGCGCUGGCUCGGAGCCCAGGAGCUUCUCCUCAGCUGCUUUGAGGAUCCCCAUGGCUAAGAGUGCGGUGCGCUUUUGCGCAUUUAUAGGGGGAAAUGUUCGCACAGCGGUGAAAGGGGAAACGAUCGUGAUUCAAAUCAGGACGUUUAUAAAAAGCUGUCAAAACAGACGUUUCCCCAGUUAUCUUAAAAGACCCACAGAAUGAACCCUGUUUGUUUGUUUGUUUGUUUGUUUGUUUGUUUGUUUGUUUUAGCCAGCGAAAGUCAAUCUGCAGAGCAAUCCUAUGCAAGUUUACCUUUGAAUAAACCCCACUGAAUACCGAGGCGGGGCCUUCAAUAAUAAGCAGGCACAGGUCUGCGCUGUUGGCACUGUACGCUUUUAGGGGCAGAGGCCUGCCGGCGUCUUUGCCUUAUAUUUCAUGUCUGAGUAUAAACGGAGGGCAUGGAAUUCACAGCAAAGCCAAACACGACAAUCAUAAUAAAUAAUUACUGUUUUAAAAACAGCAUGGAAUCCACUAUGUGAAAACAACCUACGUUGAACGUAGGGCCACGUUGAAAAUCUAUUUGGAAAGUUAGUCGUGACUAAGAAAAGCCCCACUGAUUUCUGUGGGAACUGACCUAAGUCCGGAUUCAAAUCUAUGUGUUUUCCCCUAUCAGAAAACAGCACAUAUAUUCACACACCCUUCCUUUUUGUAGCCUAGAGUUCCUUUCGCUCUUGCCCAGCAGACAAAUCUCUGUUUUUAUUCGCUUGGGCUAUAAUUAAAGUUUCCUCUUCCAUUCUUCCACCGGCUCAGCAACCGGCUGGGUUCCCUGUAAUAUCGCAUUCCUAAAUGCAGUCACUCGGUAGGGGGAUCGGGACCUUGACUCCACCCGAACAAUGAAGGCUUCUCUGCCCUUUUACCCUGAAGGCAGUCCCCCUCCCACGGCUUUUUCCGGGGUCAAUGUGCUUAAAGGGCACAAGGAACUGAGCUGAAAUAGUGCACAUGUGUGUGUGUGGUGCAUAUAUAUAGUGUGUAUAUAUAUAUAUAAUAGUGCAUAUAAAGAGAGAUCUAUAGAUAUAUAUGCUUCCUCGUAACCGCAAGACGUCAUUGUAAGAAGGAACUCCGCUUUGAGGUUGUCAGAGUGGAAAUAAUGGGGGGACAACAAAUCUAGGCAUAUUUAUUUGGCAGGGGCAACCCCCCCCAUAGAAAAUCAACGGGGCUUACUCCGAAAUUUAAAACAACAGCAAUGUUUAUGGUCCAGUGUUAGGCCGCCUGCGAUGCCAUCUUUAAUACGCUUCAUUUAAAGGAAAAACACCCGCCUCGCCCACAAAAAAACACCUCAUCCUUUUUUUCCAAACACGAGUGAGCACGAUCCGACCACAGCUGAGCAACGGGAGAGUUCAAAUGCGUUUUUACAACUCUCUCCUCAUUGAAACCAUUGUAACGUCGACGUACUCCUCUGGUGCUGGGCCCUGUGUUGUUCUGAAUGGAGAGGGAAAUCUCUAGUCUUCUGGGACAGCAACCCCACCACCACCCUCCGCCAAAAACAGACACACACCCUGUCCUUUAUUUAGAAGUGGGUCCUAUUGAUCUAAGUGGAAUAUGCUUCCAAGGAAGUAUCCUUUGAAUAAUCACUCAAAGCCCCUUAAACUCCAUCAUCCAAGUUGGAAGUUGGCACCCUUGGUUUCAGUGCAAUUUACUUCCAGGGAAGCGUGCUUAGAAUAACCAUCCCGGACUUCAACACGUCAGGAGACACGAAGCCUCUCUCCAGGUGGCUGCAGGCUGCAAAGAGAUAGCUCAAUCCGUCACCCCAGAGAAGCUGCAACACUUGACUCUAAACUCUUUUUUUGUAGUCCUUGUUUAUUUCGAUGGUACAAAAACCAGGCCGAUUCUUAACCACACCGAGUUGGAACUAAAAUGCAGUUGCUUUAAGUGGAUCUUGUAAAAUCUUAACUUGGCCGAGAAGGGCAGGAGAACUUAAGAUACCUUUUGGAUUGGAAACUCUGCGGGGCAGGCGCCCAACUCUUGUUUUUUUUAUAUCCUGUUUUUCACACAGUCUAGGCAGCAAUCCUAAGCACACUUCCUAAAAAAGCAUUCAGACAGACUUGCUUCUGAGUAGACAGCACGAUGAAAAGAGUGUGUGUGUGUGUGUGUGUGUGUGUACACCCUCUUCCAAGGUAGAAUGGAUUAACCCUGUUAGAAAAGUGUUGAGAAAAGGUGCUGGUAUUUUAUGGACUAGAUUUUCCAUGCCUUGAGAUGUGUUAUUUAUUUUAAAAUCCUAUUUGAGAACAUCAAUCUCCUGCCUCAAGAGUUGUCCCCAAAUGCGCUCUUAAAUUCAAGGGCCUUGCUUUUCCUCACAGUGAUACAGAGGAUGGUACCGGGUGUACCAUUCACCGAGGGUGUCCGGCGCUGUUUACAGAACGAAACCGGCUGAAACCCAAAUACUCCGGCUCCACUCCUAGAGGUUCGAAUCCGGAGCGGUGCGCUUUUCCUCCUGAGCCAGACCAACGGCCACCCUCCUCAUUUAUUACAGCUUGCUGUCCUAAGGGCGCUCCUUGGAGAGGAAGCCCCAUGGAAAUCAAUGGGACCUGCUUCUUAGCAAGCGGGCCUGUUUCAGACCGUCUCCUGGAGCCUAGGGAGAGAUAGGAGGGUCACGAAUGUAGGUGAAAACGCAUAGAUGUACACUUUCCUUUAUUUUUCCAGAUGUAGGGGAAGUAACCAGCUGGAGCAAUUUUAUUUUUGUAUAUUUAUCCGUCGGCGCGGGAUGUCUGCAAGAUCUGCAGUGGCGCUUUUUCAAAAGAGAUCUUCUAGCUCGCUGGAGUGGAUUUGCAAAAAGAUCGAUCCGAGGAGGGAGGAGAAAGCGGCAAAAAACACAGAGAGAAAUAUACGUUUAUCUGUUGAUAAACGUAUGGCCCAAAUGUUUGCAAGCGCUGUUCCUCGCUCCGCGAUAUUUUUUUUUUUUCCUAAAAAGAAUCGAAGAAUUAUUUCCCCACCCCGCCUCCUCCUUUUCCCCCUGCAGGUAUUUUUACUAGCUAAUUGCUUAAGUGAAGGAGUCUUUGCUAGAAAGAAGACGUUGGGAGCGGGGAGGCGGAGGGUGGGGAGUGUAAUCCGAGGCUGGAAAUGUAUCUGGCUAGUAUUGUCAAAAGCAGAUUUUGCAGGCAAAGGAAGGACGCGAGGGGGGUUGCUUCUUUGGAAAGGGGCCCGCAUGUUUAUCAAAGGUCAGACCACCCACGGGGAGGACGGAGUCAGACGCGCGUCCGCACUCGCUCCGGCCUCUCUGCCCUGGUUUUCAUUAACACCAGGGAGCUGGUCCAGAACGAAAAAGACGCCUCCUCCCCCCCCCCAACCCACCCCCUCAGUCUCCUCCUGGGUCCCUCUACUUACUCGUCCGUCCCCCCCCCCAACCCUCGCAAAGCGAUCCCAUAACCGUUUACACAAGGCCAAGGGAGGUGAAUGGCACGAUCCGGCUUGACCAGUUUGCUUCAUCUGGAGAUUACGCGAGAGACAGAUAUAAAAUCAUAUAUAUGGUAACAUGUUCCAACUUCAAGGUGUUGACAAGGAAUUGCAGUCGAGCGAGGGGAGGUGGAAGGGAGCUGGAUAGAUUUUUGGCAGAGCUCUCCAGAAACGCAGCAUCAAGCUUUCCAACGUGGGCAGAGGAGGAGGAGGGACCUUCUCACCACCUUCCUCGGUUGUUAUGAUCAUCCCCUCUCUGUGGUUUUACCCCGGCUUCAUGAAUAACUGCCUGGAAGAGUGAGAACUGUCUGCAUGUUCUAAAUCCAUCCUUGCAGGUUCUCCCUCUUGCAAUCCACUUUAGGUAAUCCGGAGUAACCACCGCUGCUUGUUGCCACACUUUUUAUUUAUUUUUAUUUCAUUUAGAUAUCACCUUUGCCUGCAAGGAGCUCAAGGCGGUGUACGUUGUUCUCCCUUCCCCUUUUUAUUCUCACAGCACCCCUGUGUGGUAGGUUAGUCUGGCCCAGAGCUUCAUGGCUGAGUGAGGAUUUCAACCAUGGUCUUCAAGGUCCUAUUCCAACACUCUUAACUUUCACACCAGUAUAUGAAUAUUAUGUAAGCCUGCUGGACCUGUGCACACGUUGAAACCAGUUUCAGACCUACUCAGCUAUCAUUCAGCUGUGAGGAACAUGGAAAGCUACUUCAUACCGAGUCAGACUAUUGGUCUGUCUGAACUCUGUACUGCCUACACUGACCAGCUGCAGCUCUGCAGGAAUUCAAACAUGGGUCUCCUUCAGCCCUGCCUGGGGAUUGAGCCUGGGACCUUCUGCAUGCAAAGCAGUUGCUCUACCACUGAGCCAAGUCCCUCCCCUCCCUCCAAGAGAGGGCAGCUGUUCCAGGAUUAUUUAGAUGCAGCUCUCACUGAUUUCAAUGGAACCUGCUUCUGGGUAAAUGUGCCUAGUUUAACGAAAUGGUCUGGGAUAGAGCCGACUACUCUGAAAGAAACUAAGGCAAAGGAUGUCCUCUUUACUGUGCAUUCAUGAUUAUUGGUGCUCGUGAUGGUAUCAGGGCUGCUAUACAUGACCCCCAGAUGCUUUGGGAUGGGCACACUGCCUCAUUUCCAUACAUCUCCCAUAACUCCCUGCUGAAUUCCUGGAACUCUUCAUACCACAAUUUUCACAGUUUGUUUUUUCUCCCCCAUGCUUAUUUUGCACUAUUGUGCGGCAGUGCCCCUCUAGAGUGCAAUAAUGCUGCAACACUGGGGACACAUUGCAGCACAACUCACAACGCAGAAUGAUGUGAGGAUCAUCUAGUUCCCCGGGGGGUCAUCUAGUUCAACCCCUGCAAUGUAGGCAUCUCAGCGUGUUGCAGAAUGCACCCACAACAGAACACCAGUCUAGAGGGUCUUCAUGUCCAACCUCCAAAACACAGCAUUUUGCUAGCAGCAGUGGGGAAAUUAUUCUAUCAAUGAUUUUAAGCCAGAUUCAGAGGCUGUGUACCUCUGAAUACCAGUUGCUGUGGAGCAGUAAGAAAAGUCUGUUACAGUGGUACCUCCGGUUAAGAACUUAAUUUGUUCUGGAGGUCUGUUUCUUAACCUGAAACCGUUCUUAACCUGAAGCACCACUUUAGCUAAUGGGGCCUCCCGCUGCCGCCACGCCACUGCUGCGCAAUUUCUUUUCUCAUCCUGAAGCAAAGUUCUUAUCCCGAGGUACUAUUUCUGGGUUAGCAGAGUCUGUAACCUGAAGCGUCUGUAACCUGAAGUGUAUGUAACCCGAGGUACCACUGUACUUGUGGGCUUUUCUGAGGAAUUUACUGUCGGAUGUGUUGGGCUUGCCCUGAAGGCUGAUGUGUCUGCUUGGGAAGGUGUAGAUAGAAGAACCUCCAAGCUUCCAAAACUGUCCUUUAACUUGCACUGAUUUUCCCUUAAGUGCUAGAGUGAUACUUAGAAGAAUUGUUGACCUCAUUUUCUACUUCCAUCUUCAUCCUCACCUUGUUGGAGGAGACAUCUUUCUAUGUCUCUCCUGCUGACACAAGCAUGUUUCAAGGCACCUCCACCUGACUUAGACAGAACCAAUAUAUUUCUUACUAAGGAUGUGUUUCCUGCAAUAAACAUAGCUUUCUUGUUUUCCUAAACUCAGAUCCUCAGUGUGUUUAUAUACAGGGUAGUGUGUGGUCCCAACCAAGGAAGGAUUUCAGUACAUACUUCAAGGUUCUGCUGAUACAACUCCAAAUGACAUCAACUAGCUUGGGGUUUCCUAAACUUGGGUCGCCAGCUGUUUUUGGACUACAACUCCUAUCAUUCCUAGCUUGCAGGACCAGUGGUCAGGGAUGAUAGGAGUUGUAGUCCAAAAACAGCUGGAGACCCAAGUUUGGGAAACCCUGAUCUAGCUGGCCUCUGCUGGAAGCAGGAUGCUGGGCCACUGGUCUCAUUCCAAAGAGCUCCACAUGAAAUGAUAGAGAGGAAAGGGACCUAGUCCAACCCUCUGCUCACUGCAGGACCUACAAUGCAGGAUAUGAUGGCACAUCAGUGUGCACUUGUAGGAGGACACUUUACCCCAGAUGUAAUCUCACUGAGAUUUAAAUAUGGAAAAAAGAAGUCUAAUUUUAUUAUUGGAAGUACAUGUCGGACAGGGAAGAUCCUACUUCCAGCAAAGUAAAAAAUCCAUACCUGCAUCUUCAUUUCUGCAAGAGAGAGAUAAAGGGGGGAAAGGUGUCCUCUCCCCAAGUGGGAUGAAGGAAGAGGAGGAGGAGGAAGUGAGGUCAGCAACCCUGAAAGUUUCAGACUAACACUUGGAGAAGGGUCAGUGCAGGUUAGGUCAGAAGGACAGUCUAGGAAGCUUAGAUGCUUCUCUCUCUAUCGACUUUCUCCCCAUGCAAACCCACCAGCCUUAAUAGAAGCUGAGUUGUAUGCAUCCCAGAACUUCAUCCAACAGAUGGCCCUGGCCCACAGUGCUUCACAGUAGGCCAUAGCUCAGUUGGCAGAGCAUCUACUGUACAUGCAGAAGGUGCCAGAUUCAAUCCCUGGUAGGACUGGCAGACCAGCCUACCUGAGACCCAGGAGAAGCCACUGCCAGUCCGUGUAGGCAAUACUGAGCCAGACUGACCAGUAACUCUGUGGGGGGAAAGUCAGCUCCCAAUAUUCGUAUUCAUGGCUCUCUCUGUUCCCACAACAGUCCCUUUAGCGAAAGUUGUUACCCUGUAAUUUUCCCAAAGCCGUCUUAUUUGUAAUGGAAUCUCCCAUAUGCAACUCAGGCCUUCCUUGAGCCUGUAUCUCUUUGUAGACCACAAUAGAGAGUGCAUUUUGUUGUGGUUUUUUCCUCUGAUGAAUGUGGAAGAAACUUCGAUAUCAGCACAGAUCAAUAUAGGCAGCAAAACUUGAUGAUGAAAAAUUGUCAUUACUUUUGCAGGGCCUUUUGUUGUUGUAAAUUCGUACUCUGCCCAUUGAUUUCAUCUAUAUCUAAUACCUGUAUUACAUGUUUUAUCCCGUUAGCCCCUGCAGAAUGAGUGAACUGUUUGUGAGAGCUUAAGCUUUGUCUGUGUAGGUUAAUAAAAAUCACAGUGUCUUGUGGCACCCUAAAGACUAAUAAAUUUAUUAUGAUAUGUCUAGUGCCUAGUAUUGUCCCUAACCCUAACAUAGGUGAGGAAGCAGGGUGGGCAGCAUGUUAACAGUGGAAUUAAGCAACUAUGAAAUGCAGUAAUUACAAUACAUUACUAUUCGAUUAUUUAAUUGCUUCUGUACAUUAUUUAAAACAACAUUUCUGAAUUACUUUUCAUCAUAUGAGAUUCCAGGGUGAUGUGCAGCGUAGAAGGACAAUUCAACAGGAUACAAAACAAGUGAAAUAAAAACAGCACACCAGAGCUUAAAUGUAGGCAAAAUAAACACAACAGCCACGAUUGAUUUAUAAGGGGCAACAUCUUAGCAUUGGCAAGGCAGGAACCCCUUGUCUCUAUUCAUGCCCAAACAGACAAAGCCAAAUGUGUGUUUCUGCAUGCACAUCACUGGAAAGGGGAAAGGAGAGCGUCUUUCUUACGAAAUCACCCAUUCCCCCCCCAAAAAAAAUCACCUCCCUUCUGCCCCUCUUACAUCCAAUUUAUUCUCCUUUCUUUCUCAUCUCUCUUUACCGCCCCCCCCCCCGGUAUUUAUAUCCCUGAUUAUGGGGUUAUCAUAACUGGAAUGCUUUGCAGAGUUGCUGGCGGCGUCCCAAAUCUCUGUUCCAUUCAAAGGCAAAAGACAAGAGACGAGGAGAGGGGGAGGGAGGAAUUGCGACAGAAGUGGAGAAUUGGAAGGGGCUGGGGAGAAGUUCCUCUGAAACACUUCUCCAAAAAGUGUCCCCCCACCCACGCAAUCUGCGUGUGUGGCCCACGCUGCUUUAUCUCGUUCCAGCUCCCGAGGCUUAGCCUGGAAUCUUGCUCUGGGGAGGGGUGAGGGUCGUCCUGCCAGCAGCCCCUUCCAGAGCGUGUAAAACGGAUCCACCGCCAACGUGGAUCUUGGAAGAUCUCUCUCAGUUGGUGGUGGAGGGAGGUGGGGGGGUCAGAUUUCUAGGAUCUCACUGGACGGGAUGAAAACACGCGACCCACCAGCCCUAUCAAAGCUGCAAUCCUUGCGGGUGGGGAGGGAACCACUCAGUUUCCUGGGAGGAAGCCCCAUUGAACUUGUUGAAGGACGCAGGAGCGUAUGAAACUGCCUUAGUUAGGCCAUCUAACUCCGUAUUGUCGACACUGACUGGCAGAGAGUCUUUCCAGAGCUUCAGGAACAAGGCAUUCCCGGCCCCGCCUGCAGAUGCUGGGAUUGAACCCGGAGCUUUCCCCGUACAAAACACGUACUGUUCCACAGACGGAGUUACCGCCCUUACUUACGAAUAGAUACGGCUAGGAUCGCUCUGUAAGCCGAUCCAAGUUCAGGGCCGCUAAGAAUAUGGAAAUAAAGUUAGCACACGCUUAUUGGGGAGUACGCCUUGAGUUCAAGGGAGCUUACUUCUGAGUAAACCUGCAUAAAAUAGGGGUUUGCCUGUCAAUCGCCUUAGCUCCUGCUCCCCUCCCCGCCUCUCCUCCCUCCCCGCCCAAAUCCUUGGACAGAGCUGGAAAUAAGACCCAACAGAUUACUUAAGUGAUGGUUCGUGUGUCAGGCGCUGUACAGACAAAAAUAAACAAGAGAGGCUGUCGCGGGUCUAACAGUCACUAAACGGCCUCCUGCAGCCAGCACAAAUCUCUCUCCGGGAAGUGACAGCCCAUGAAAAGUUUUGAGCGGGGUUUGAGCGAGAUUUUGUGUAUGCAAUGACGGAUUAAUCCGUCCGUAGUUUAGCAGCGCGUUAAAGGAUGAGAUCUUACAUUAGAUGCCACCAGUUUGAGUCUUGCUGAGGGAAGAGAUCGGUUCUUUUCCGACCAGCAUAGAAGAACACGAGUUUCACUGCGGGAAAAUCAAUCUAGGCAAACAGUGGCCGGGUCAGUGGGAAUAGAACCGCACACGCAUUGCCAAAGACUCAGCUCUUAUGGAUAUAGAUUUAUUUUAAAAGAAUGCAGUGCAGCGAAUGGACUCACCUUACCGAUUCUAUGCUUUAUAUGCGUGGCAGGCCAACUCUGAGAAGAGAGCUUCGUAGAAAAAGAAAUCUGUUUAUGUAUUGAGCCUCUGGGAAUUUCUGAAUUGUAUUUCACUUGCUGCGACGCCUCUUUGAAUGGGGCUCGUGGGCGGAAAAGCGAAGGAUAUGAAUUACUUACUGAAGCUGCAGUUCUAUAGACCUGGGAUCGAGUCUCAGUGACCUCAGCGGGGCUUUGUUCUGAGUAGACCUGCAUAGGAUUGCGCUGUUGGAGGAAGAGUGUAUAGAACGGCAGCACAAUGCUAUUCAGAAGGAAAUGUGCCUGUUUGAUUCAAACGGGCUUGCGCCCACGUAAGUGCGCAUAGGAUUGCAGCCUCACUUUUCAUUCAUUAGGCUUUCCCUCUCAGGGCGCAGACUUCCUUUCUUCAGUGUGCUCUGUUUCAGAACAAGUCAUCCGUGGAUUCCCUUCUGAUUAGGCAUGCACUGGGUCGCAUUUUGCAAUAUGCUUCUGUGUAUAUAGGAUCGCAGCAGCCUUAUUUAUUGGCUUAACAAUCAUAAAACAAAUCCUAUCAAGGCUGUAUUCUCCAUGGUGUUUGAUAAUCUAUUUAUACAUUUUACAGUUCCUAUUAUGUUUCCUUCUUCACUCUCGGUUCUUCCUAGACUUUCCCCCGCAUCUUAGAAUAAGCCCCCCCCCCAUUUUUUUUCUAUUCUGCCCUCGAACCCAUAGAAUUCCUUCACACAAACAAACACGUGUUCACCUCCUUCCACCAAUCAAUAGAGGACAAGGGGUUUCAACUGAUGCUCUGCAUUCACCCCCUCGUCCUUAUCACCACACACUCUAAAUCUAUGAUGUGAAUAUAUUUGGAGCAAUCUGUUGUGUGUCUGUGUCUGUGUGGGGUUUUGUGAAGCGUGCGGGGGGAUCCUAAACCAAUUUACUUUAUUUUAUAUGUGCGUGGGGUAUCAGCGAACACCUUUAAGAUUGGAGGGAUAUUCAUUAGUGUGAAACACACGUAUUUUGUAUGAAAUGGGUUGUGGAUUGGGCUGGUAGUUUAGCUUAAGCAUAAAUAAAUGAAGAGACAUUAAGACACAAAGGAUUAUCUUUAUCUAGCUAUCUAUGUAUCUAUCAUCUGUCAAAUUAACUAUCGUCUAUCAUCUAUCUAUUCUGCACACCCCGAAAAAAGCAGCCCGUGUGCGUGAGUACACGUGAAUGAUUCAUUACAUCCGUGUGUAUGUGGAUUUAACUCUGAAAUCCUCCAAAGUAAGCCUACGUACAUAGAAAAGAUAUUUGCGUGAGGUCAACGGGCGCGUGCCUUGAGAUUUCAGCUUAACGCAGCGGUGGGCAGUAGGUCUUCUCGCUAGAGCCCUGUAAGAGGGGGAUAGGAAGGGAAAUCAGAAAUCUGCUCCGCUUUACCUCAUGCGAAAGGGACAGAAACACGUCUCAGAAGUGCGGCCUGCAACUUAGAAGCAAACCUUUACGUCCCAACCCUCCUUUGAUUGUCUAAGAGGAAACCGUCGACUUCUUUCUUGUGUGUUGGAAAUGAUUUCAACAAGGGUUUAUAUUUUUUAUUUUACCUUCCGCGGUGUGCGCGUCUGAAGGCUUGGUCUAGGCGAGUUUAAAGAAGGAUACGCCGGCUAAAUGGACAUCCAUUCAGGCAAAAUAAGGACCGGCAUUUAUUUAUUUAUUUAUUUUAAAGUAAAGUUUGCAAAUAAACGGCACCUUCUCGUUCCAGAGUUAUUUUGGAGGGAUCGGAUGGUUUGUUUUCUGCCUAGUGUCAGGUCAUAUCGGCCUCUUCUAAUGAGAGAGUUGAAAUGUAUUUGCCUCAAGAGGUCGAUUUUCAGCUGGUGUUGAAGAGAACAAAGGGAACCAUUUCGUGUUCUGUCUGACAGCUAAAUAAACUCCACCCUCCUCUCUCUCACACCCCAGUCCUUUUCACUUUAUAAAGCGUACUCCACCUUCGUUGCUUGGUUUCUGAACCGGGGCGGGAAAUCUGAUUGCACGCCAUGAAUCUGACAAAGUGGUCUGAUUGCCACUGCUUACAACAAACACCUCGAUCCUCGUCUUGCGCGUUUCUUCUCUGCAUCUGUAGAUUGUAAGGGCAUCCGGGUUUCCCCGCCCCCGCAUCUCUGUUUGAUGGGGAAAAAAUAUCACUAAUAUACUUCAAACGCUGGUACGAUUAUUUAAAUAAUAUAGACCUUCAGGAGAAAUACGUAAGGUUAAGGUUUCUAGGGCAUACUUUGUCCAGCAGCGGUUCCUUUUUGUCGUUCCUGAAAAUGGUAGGAUUUAAGUGUAGAUUGACGGGGGGUUAUGUAAUUCUCCUUUUCCAUCAGCACCGUUAGGUAUCCAGAGAAUAAAUUAAGCAAUGGCAGCAUGGUAAACUGUGUGCGUGCGUGCGUGCGUAAAAAAAAAUGCGAAAUAUACAAACUAUAUUGAGGAUAGUAGAAGAAAAUGCUUGGAAGAAGCUUGCAAAAGAUCCCUGUAGAAUAUGGCUUGUUUGUAGACGCCCUGCUGUUUCACCAAGUCAAUUGUGCCAAAUCUGUGAAGGCACCUGCUCUAGAAAACAACCUGCGCCGUUUUGGUGAAGAAUACAGCACUUUAACAUUAGAGUUUUAUUUUUAUUUAUGCUUUGAAAACUACAACAAAAGGGGGGGGGCGUUGGAUGAAUAAAAUAGAGGGGCGGGAAAUAUUUCUAUGUACAUAUUUUUAUGUACUUUCUGUUUAAACCAUAUUUUGGAUCUCUGUUUUGGAUCUUUGGAGCUUUGAAACCUACGGGUGUAACCUUCUGCAGUAUUUUAAAAGUCCCUCGCAAUCUUUGAGAAUUAUUCCCAGAGAAAUUCACCCAAAUCCAGGUGUUAAAUGCAUUUAAGGGGGUGGGGUGAGUUAGACGGUGCAUACCCAAAUAUGGAGAUUUAUUUCCUUGAAGGAACGAAGUAACACCCUGUAAUGUAUAAAACGACCUGUGUUCGGGUAUAAUGAUGUUCAGAUCUUGCUCCUCCUUAGCUGACACCUAACGGUCUAUCGAAACAUUCUAAAGAAGUCUAAACAUUCUAUAAAUAUCUCCCGUGAUAUUGGUGGGCUGGCUACUAAAAGGAAAAAAGAAUCGAUUUCCAGAUUUUUAAGUAGCAAUACCACUUUUCAAUGCUCAAAGUAAUAAUAAAUUAAUCCUUACAAAGUAUCAGUUAAUUCGCCAAGUCACAUAUUAAAUUGGAUUUCAUCGGGGCAACUCUUGUGGGUCAGUGUCCGCCGCUGAUAACACAUUUUUUACUCGGUCAUUAAAAAAAAAUCUAUUUAAUCUAUUUAAUCGGGUUCGUAUUUUUCGUUAAAAGCUCCUCAAAAACGUCCUGAGUGCUGGGGCACUCUUAAUUGUUAAUAGGUUGCUCGUAUUAGAGAGCAGCCAUUAAACUGAGAUUCUUCUCUCAACAAAAGUUAAGUGGAAACAAAUUGGUAACAAAUCAGCUGGACUUAACCUUCCACGUAAAUAUCUCUCGGGCUGAGAGGUCGAAUCCCUUUCUUGCUGGUUCUUGGGGGGUGGGGGCAGGAGGGUACGGAAAUUGUUUAGAUUUCAAACACGACUCCGUUAAGUCUAUUUAUUUCAAUGGGCCUACUCUGAGCAAAUCUUACUGGACUGCCGCCCACCCUUCUCGGGAAUGAAAGCGAGAGGGCUCGAUGGCUUAGCCAACUCUGAGACAAGCAAGUGCAAAUUCACGAAUCCAAAAAUAAUAAUUAUUCGGAGUCCAUUAAGACUCGAGAUUCCGCCCCCCACUUCCUCGUCCUCCUUUCCUCCCCCGUUUUUCUUGCCACACGCAACUACAGAAAGGGCAAAUCUGAAAAUAUUCGAGCCAUGGAAGGUAUUAAUAAAACGUGUCACUUCGCUCUCCAAGUCUGUGUGUGGUGGUGGAGAUUGGGGUGCGUGCGUGCGUGUGUUUAAGAAAACAAAGCUCUUUGCUUAUCUUGAGAGAAAGAAAGAAGAACUUUGCACACUCAGCUUUCUUUUAAAAAACGGUAUAAUACUGUGUUGCACAGGGAGAUAUGUGAACCUUCCUGAUGUGAACCAAAACAUCAGACAAACUCUUACGGAACGUAGUAGUCCGGCAAAGAAGCGUUGAUAUAUUCAUGAUGUUGCAGGUUGUGUUCAUAACGGAACCGGUUGUGAACCUGCAACACAAAGGAUUAAUUCCAGGAUUGAGGGAAGUACCAUGGGCCAAGCCAGAGAGUUUGUAAUUCCUGAGCUCACCUUGACCAAUUCAACUCCACAUCCGUAUAUUGGGUAGAAGAGGGCUACCUGGCCGGCUCGUAAUGCGUGCAGGAGACAUCCUGAAGUUCUUUUCGUACUCUCAAGGCAUAUUGAAAUGGGAACUGAUCAUUAGUGUUAAAUGAAUCUGAGUCUUCAAACCAGCAGAGGCUAAGCUCUUCCCCUAGUUUUGUGUAUUCAGAAAGUUUGCGCAUCCAGGCUGCAAUACAACAUUUGCUUGGGAAAAAGUCCCACUGAGUAUAGCAGGGCUUACUUCCAAGACCAAGGAAAGGGUCAGUGGCAAAGCAUCUGCUUUGCAUGCAGAAAGUCCCAGAUUCAAUCCCUGGCAUCUCCAUAUAGGGAUGGAAGAGACCCUUGUCUGAAACCCUGAAGAGUCGCUGCCAGUCAGUGUAGACAAUACUGAGCUAGAUGGACCAAUGGUCUGGCUCAUUUUAAGGCAGCUUCCAAGUUCCUAAGCAUGUGCAGUAUUGCCCUGUGCUUUUCAGCUUCCUCUGGAUCUUGGCAGGAUGCAGUUACAGCAACAUGUUUAUUGCAGAGACUAACAAACUAGAGAUUUUUAAUUCUUAUCUCAAAGCGUUUCUCCAGUUGCUCUGAUCAAAAUGAUGCUGUUUCCAAGGUGGCAGUUAAAGAGCUUUGAGGCUGCAGCUCAUCGAUGCUGGUACUGCCCUCCAGGUUAAUGUGCCCAGAGUGUACAACCAGAAGCUCUCCCUUUUUGCUAACUUUGUUGGACCUUUUGGCACAUCUACAGCAAUUACUGUUCCGUAAUUAGUUACUUUUUUAUACACACACAAACGCUGCACGCACACAUUUACCUUUGAUACUAGCUGAUAAUAGAUAGAUAGAUAGAUAGAUAGAUAGAUAGAUAGAUGAUAGAUGAUAGAUAGAUAGAUAGAUAGAUGAUAGAUAGAUAGAUGGAUAGAUGAUAGAUAGAUGGAUAGAUGAUAGAUAGAUAGAUAGAUAGAUGAUAGAUAGAUAUAGAUGAUAGAUAGAUAGAUGAUAGAUAGGUAGAUAGAUAUCUGCUUCCUCUUUCUAUUAUGAUAUUAGUAACCAGGGAAAUACGUUUGUCCUAGGUGAGUAUGAUUGUUUACAAAUCUUGUCUCUUUCUCUUCAACUUUGGUAUCUUCUGUUCUUUAGCGAGUCUUCCCCUCAUAAAUAAUGCGGCCAGCUACAUUCCUUUCUUCCUUGAACAAGUAACCAACAAAGGCAUUUUUGUUCUAUAAAAACCUCGACGUGAAAAAACCUGGACCAUUAACCUGAUGUCCUCCCCAAUUCAAAUCAUUCCACAGGUCUGGGUAUAAACCUGUUCCCAGGUUUGGGGAAAGCAAAAGGCCCCCAAUUUAUUUCGCCUUGAAGUUAUUUAAAACAUGACAGCCAGGAGCCAAAGCGAAGCCCCUUUGCAUCCCAUUGUUUUCAAUGGGGACUUGAACACCUGCGCCGCUCACUUCCUAUUGAAGCCAAUGGGGCUUAAAGCUGCGGUCCUAUAUUCACCUCUUAGGGAGAUUCAAGUCCCUUUUAACGCACUGAUAUUUACUUCUGAGGAGACAUGGUUAGGAUCGCGCUGUAAAACAUGCGGAACGUGGUCUAGACCGUGCCCUGCGAGUGUGGGGUGUGUGUGCGCGUGCUUGCGUGUGUGUGUGAAGUAACGGGACGAAGAAAACCACACCGUUUAGGAGCAAAAUAUUGACAGAUCUCUCAUUUUAGAAACUGCAAUUAUAUUAAUGACUGGAGAGUUUCGUUCUUUUCAAGGGGAAAGGGAAGUUACUCUUUCGGUUUUCAGUCAAAUGACAGGAUUCUUCCAUGUUUACCUUUAUCCUGAAGUGGGGCGAGGUGGGGGCGAGGUAGAGAGACAAGCAAACCAUAUUAAUAACCCGUGAUAUGAAACUGUUUCCCAUAAUCUCCCUCUUUCUCCCUGAAUAUUUUCUCGUUCUUUUUUUUCUUCCAAAAAGCUGAAUUUAUAAUUUUAUAGUUUUGGGUUGUUGUUGUUGUUGUUGUUGUUAGCAACCUCAAAGGCAGGUUCUACCAACCUUCUAGUUUCUCUGAGGAGGGCUUAAUUUAUGCCAAACCUCUCCAAAGUUGAUAUCCAGAACGCUCGGGGCAAUUCUUCCAGAAACAUGGGGUGAAAUAAUAGCAAUCAAGAAAGGGGUCUCUGGCAUGAUAAAAGUCUGUAGUUUUAUCAGGACAAGUUACUUGUUGUUAACUGUUGUAACAAUUGCUUUCUCAAAAUUUAUCUUCUGUACCAUGAAAAAUAGAUAAGCUGGCUUUUUUUAAGAAAGGGAUCUCUGAGUCUUGUGCAGAGUGUCUUCAUAGAAAAACAGGAAGUUGCCUUUAUCUAACUCAGUAGUGUCUACACACUGGCUGGCAGGGGCUCUCUAGAGUCUUUUCCAGCGCUACCUGGAGAUGCCAAGGAUUGAACCCAGGGACCUUCUGCAUGCAAAGCAGAUGCGCCGCAACUGAACUUCGGCUUCUUCGCCUCACCAGGUUGACUUUAUCCUGUCUCUAAGAUGAAGGAGACGGACUUCUCAGAACAAGUGGACACCUCUCUUAGAAAUGAGUAGGGUUGCAACUGAACUAAAGGCAUUUUUGACAGUGAAUCAUAUACCUUUUAGUCGAUUAAUCGAUAAAGUGAAUGGCUAAGGCAAUGUUUCCUAAGCAUCCUUCUCUUUUUAGGUGAUGCACAUAUCUGGCGUAUCUGGCAUAUUCUCAAAAGAGGCAUUGCCUCUUAUGAGAGGAAGGUGGGGAUGUCUCCAUUUAGAUAGGGCUUGCCACCAUUAGUUCAGUAUUUUUAUUUUUAUUUAAACCAAUAUUUUUCUUUAAACGAACAAAAAAGUAAUGCUCCAGUAAUUGAGAACACGUUUUUAGUGGAUUCUGCUUGGGACAACAUUAGAGAACAUACUAUCUACUGCUGAAAUGUUUACUCGAUUAAACUAGCUGAUUAAUCGAUUAAACAUUGCAGCUAUGGACGUUAAGGACUCAUGUUAUUUGCUGUUGUCUUAAGAAGAAAGGGAAAUUGGGAAAUACACGUGGGGGAGACAAGGAGAGAGACCGAGAGAGAACCUAGGUACAGGUAUAUUAUCCAGUUCUGAGAAUCCUGAAUGAAACAGACAAGAAACGUUUUCCAGCUGAAGCUUAUUUUUCUUGCAUUCUGGAUAUUCUUAUGCAAAGGGAAAUAUACCUCUACAUGUUAGAGGUGAAAUAUUAUCUGACAGAUGGGGGUGCUGAGCCUUCUGAAAACUAAUAUCUCCGGUCUGCAGAGUCCCUCGCUGGCGAGGAGGAAUUUAAACAGCUCCCACCCACAACCUAGUUAAGCCCAAACAUGUAAAUUCACACAACCCUAUUGCACUGACGCGUCGUUAAAUCUAUGAGACUUCACAUUCGGGUGCUACACGCAUUCUGCUGACAACACGCAGCAGUGGUUUCAUUUACUUCAGAACCAUCUUUUGCCACAAAAUCAGGGCUUUCCCUUGAAUUCGUAGUCACUCCACUAUCACCCUUGGUUCUACAGUCACAAUCAUCACAAAGGCGGCUUAGAGCUCGCGCUUUCUCCGUAAACACCAAGGGAAGCUAAGAGGCAGACAGGCUGUCAAAAGACAACUUCCAAAGGCGGCAGAUCCUGGUUAAACUACUUGCGUGUUCGCUUGGUUUAAGCUCAGCGGGACUGUUCUGGAGAAAAGGGAGUAAGGCAAACUGUGAGGACUCUCUGGUUAGGGGCACUUGCACGUUCCGGACAGAGCCUAGCACACGCUGGAACCAAAAUAAAUAUGGAUGAGGAGGAGGGCGGCGGCAGUAUGUUGCGUUUAGGAUUAAGUAGCGCGGGCAAAGAGGCGCGCUGGAGACGACAGACUUGGUGAAAAGCCCAUUAAGAUCUGCACCGAUUAAGCGGUGAACGCUUGCAGAUCCAUUUCUGAAUUUCCCCCCAGAAACAGAAUCCGAAAUGACAGGAAGGGCAAAACUAGCUUUUAAGAAAAGGGGGGAAAUCCACUUCUGUUUCCCAUUUCUCCCACCCCACUUCAGUUCCUCCCUCUUCCCUCCUAAAGCAAACGAGAAGAGCUUUGUCAGUGCGUAAAGGAGCCAUUCCAAAACCAAUUAGAACCCCUUCGUCUCGUUUGUAUGUAUUGUUAAGGCAUCUGGGGAGAGCGCGCGUCAGAUCUGCCGCCCAACCAUUGAGAACGCUGAAAAGGAGACUCGGACGAGGUUGGAAAACAAAUACACGCGGCCAGUUAUGAAGCCCAAGCCGGAGAGCCUGGCGGCGGCGGCAGAAAUAAUAGGAGUUGGGGCGGGUGGGGGAAGUGUCGGAAGGCGGAUUUCAGACAGCGGAACCGCGGGAUUCCUGUCCUGAAACCCAUCCCAGGGAAUAAUAGGCAAAAUGCUAAUUUCAUUGAUGCUUCCGCUGUGAAGAACGCCAGCAGUUACGCAUGGAGCCUCUGCUGGCUUAUUUACUUACGCGCAGCGCAGUUCUGUAUAGAGCUACUCUGGAGUAAGCCCCCAUGGAUUACUUGAUUCCCAAGUAAGUAUGUGUAAGGGUCUUGCCUACUUUCUAUCUCAAGAAAAUAAUGAUAAUAUCCUGGCUUUCGUUACAAUAUCCGGAAGGUUUAAAUGUAUAAUCCACAAGUGUAUAAUCCCCUUUCGGGAAACGAGUUGAGAACAGAGGAAACGGCCUUCUUUCGAGCUGAAUGACGGAUCCUCCGUCUAGCACAGAACACUGACUGGCAGCAGAGAUUCAAAAGGGUGGGAGGGUUGAAUUUCUGAAUAGAAAGCGUGUAUUUUACCUCUGAGCUGUUUCUCCCACAGCUCUGUGGUAGGAAAACGAGACACAAUGGAUAGAGAGCGCCCAGUUUCAUCGUCUGCAGAAUUAGGGAACAGCCACAAACACCGUUGCGCUUCUCAGGGGUCGCACAACAACGCACAGAUCUCUCCUCCGUGGAGUUGCUUUCUUUCUGGUUGGUUUGCUGUUGUUUGCGGAGUUCAGCAUAGCCUCAAAGCCUGCGCUUAUUUCCAUCAUCAUAGACAGAAGACCCACACAACACAUUUAAUGCACCUCCAAAGCUCAUUUAAAACACAUUGUCCCCCCCCCGGGCAAAUCAUGGGAACUAUAGUCUGAUAAGGAUGAUCAUUGGGACUAUAGCUCUGGGAGGGGGAAAACUAUAGUUUCCAGGAUUAUUUUGGGGAAGUAAUGCGCUUUAAAUGUUCGUUGGGGUUUAUGAUAAGGAUAUUCCAAAGAAAUAAAUUUAAGCUUACGCGUUUACGGCUCUGUAAGAGAGUAUACUCAAGAUUACUUAGUGCACGUUAGUUACUAAAAAAGAAGAUUAUUCCCGUGCUCAUAGUGGUUAAAGUACAUAUUUCCCUGUCUUUUAUUCAGUGGGCUCCUAUGGGUGAAGCGUGGUGUAGUGGUUAGAGUGUCGGACUAGGACCUGGGAGACCAGGGUUCAAAUCCCCACUCAGGCAUGAAGUUACUGGGUGAUUUUGGGCCAUUCAUUCACUUUCAGUCUAACCUACCUCACAGCAUAGGAACCAACUCCUAGGGGCCAUGGGGUAAGGGGUCCUCCACAAAGCUGAUGGGCAUUCCCAUUCAAAUAUUGUGUGUCAUGUGAUCGAUUAUGUGGGGCGGGGCUUACCUGGGCCCCCCACAAUUUUUUAUUCAAGUUGGCACCCCUGCCUCACAGGGUUGUUGGGAGGAUAAAAUGAAGAGGCGGAGGAGGAGAACUAGCUUCUCUCUCUCUCUCUCUCUCUCUCUCUCUCUCUCUCUUUCUUUAAGCACUGGCUCAUGCUAGGAAACGAGGGAGUAGCAAUUAUUCCACAGCGAUGACCUCGCGGAAUGUAGAGACUUCAUUCACAGAUGCUCCAGAAUCGCCCUGGUUGAAGCCUGCGUGGCUUCUCCAGAGCAAGUGGAUUCAAAACCGUCCAGCUUCACAUUUAACACUCUUUGACUAAACCGCCCAGCAAAGCCCAAGGGGGGAGAGAGAGGUCGCCUAUUCAAGAGCUGUCAGCAAGAGAUUAAAAGCCCCAGGAUGGCGUUGAACCCGAGGCUUGAGUCAAGUGGUGGAAGGAGGGGCGUGCGGGGAGGGGGAGACUCUCAGCAAUUCGGGCGGGGGUGGGAGGAGACUUAAGAGAAGGGGAGACAGGCGUGUUUCAGAAAGGGGAUCUUUACAUCGGCCUGUCAGUAUCCCCAGAGCGUAACCCAAAAGCGCAGAUCCACAUCGCACACAUCGCACAUUUAAAGCGCAUCCAAUGCACCUCGAAACAACAUUACUUCGCCCCAGGGAAUUAUGGGAAGCAUAGUUUGUUAAGGGGGCUGGAAAUUGUAGCUCUGUGAGGGGGUAACUAAAGUUCAGGUGCUUUAAAGGUGCGCUGGAUGUGCUUUAAAGGUACGGUGUGGAGACCUUCCUGUUCAGACAGGUCUUUGAAAACAAAGGUGCAGACGAUGCUUGAUCCGUGGGCUGCUGUCAGGGCAAACAGCUUUUAAACUUCCGGCUCUAAAUGUGUCCUGGUGUAUUUUAAUUAUUGUUUUUAAUUAUUUUGCUUUGAUUAGUUUGUUUUGUACAGUAUACUGUUGCUUUUGAAUGUUGUAAGCCGCCGUGAAUCCCAGCUUGGGAGAAAGGCAAGGUAUAAUACAUAAAAAUAAAUAAAUAAGGUUUCUUGAUACACACUCCAUGGUCACAGCGACACACAUUACAUAUAUCCUGUAUAUGCAGAUUCAUAUGUGUCUAUACCAUCAUAGCUCCACCCACUCACAAUAAAAUGACACAGAAAGAGAGUUAUGUAUACAUACUGUAUUAAAUACACAUAAUCUAGUUGUGGAACUGUUCUCAUGCACACACACAUACCAGGAGGACAGACAAAAGACAAUGCUUCUGUACACAGUGCACAGUUAGUUUAUGGAACUCCCUGCCUCAAGAUGUGACGAUGUCCCAUUUUCCCGUCGUCUUGAAAGCGGGAUUAGACAGUGCAAUGCCGAGGUAGGUGGGCCUCUGAGCUGAAUCCAGUGAUUAAUAGAUGACCAGAGGCCUUCUUGCCCUCUCUCCUAAAACAUAAAGCUGGAAGGGUGGUGAUGGCUGCCCAGUGGGACGCUUCUCUGCUCAUGCUCAGAGGACGUCUCGUCUCCAUCAUGUGAGCAAAACCCGGACAUUAAAAGAGAUUCCGGGGAGAAGCUCUUUGGGCCAAAUGUAGUCUUGCUCAGAUCCAUUGACUGAGGACUCUCACCUGUCCUCCCCGCCCCCACUCCAUCCUAAAUAUAUGCACUAAAUAUUUCACACUUUACAUGUGAAUUCUUGGGGAGCCCAGAUUUUUUAGGGAAAGGGGAAAACUCUGCCAAAAGCCACUACGAGACCUAGAAUUGUAGUGCAAACGUUGAGUGGCGAUCCAUAGUUAGGUUCCCUUCCUCUUUAUAAUCCCAACCCUCCUUCCUUCCCAGUUUGCCAAUUUAUAUGCUGUUCGAUUCCCAACUUCCUCUAUCCAUCCAUCGCUCCCUCCAUCUAUCUCUGUACUCCGCGCAAUCACGAAGCCAAGCGGCGAAAUGGUCUCUUUCUCUCUCUCUUCACUUGACUAGCUUGGUAGGUGGCCCUGUAUAUUUGGGUUAAUGUCGUGUUUAUGUUAAUGAAAAAGGGGGGGAUAAGAUUACAAACAGACCACGGCAUGCCCUGAUUUCUGUCGCUGCUGGGUUCGUCUAAACUGUAUAUUUCCAGACUAAUCAGUUUCGGAGAGCGAAAAUGACUGUUGCCUCGAAGACCUCUCUCGCCGCCGCCCCGCACCCCCCCCCCACCAAAACCGACAUUUUCAAUUAAAAAAACAACCAAGGGAAUAUUGAUUGUGUUUCCUCUGGAGAUAGUGUAUAUCUAAUCUGUUGCUAUAAAGAGGAAGAGACGCACAGGGAUUUUUGGACUGUUUGAUUUGUUGCUUUUUUCCUUUUUCAGAAGAGAGUGAAGGCAGAAGCGGCUUGAGGAUCGCAGAAAGGAUGUCUGGAUGAGACCAUUGAGCUGAAUCACACACCGUUUUGCCCUUUACACUACAAUCCGAUAUACACUUUUGUAGGAGUAGGUCCGGAUUGUGCUAUUAAAGACACACCCAUGUCACUUGAGAAAUUAAGCACUUGUCUGUCUCCCAUGAAAAAAAGUGAGACCUCGAUGUGUUUAACUUCGUCUAUAGUUGGAAAUGGCUCCUGAUAGUUCUGUUAGACAUUAUUAUUAUUAUGUCCAUUAAACCCAAUGGGUCUACUCUGAGUAGGACCAGCAUCUGCUAUCACUUAUUAUGAUAAUUACUAUUAUUAUUACUAUUUCAUCUCCAAGACUCCUCUCUAUUCAAAUUUUAUAUUGAUCACGUUUCCUGCCCGCCCCCAUCCUUUCCACGCUGGACCUUCAAAUAAGUCGAAGCUGUCGAUCAUUUCAAGGCUUUCUUUUGUCACUUAAAGAAAGUAGUGGCAACGUUUCUCUGAGGGGCGGGCGGGCUGUGGAGGACAUUUAUUGAAACUUCAGGAUCCGGGGAAAGUCUUGGGGCACAAGCAACGAGGGUUUCCCCUGCCUCCCCCCACGCUAAGAUGUGACUGGUUUUGGUGUGAUCACUGGCGAGAACGGAAACAUCUGAAACAAUCCCGCGCCCGUAUAGGGUACCGCUUCCAAAUACAGUUGUAUCCGUUUUCCCUAAGCCUCCUUAGAUGUGCAUCUUUAGGUACCAAAAAUAGCACUGCGUUCUGUAUUGCACAGCUUGGAUUCUUGAACGAGUGAAAGGUGUACCAGUGUCUUUUGAGUGAUUAAGGGGGGAAAUGGGCAGGACCUCCCCCCGCACAUUGUAAAUCCCCAUUUACAAAGCCAAGACAACCACAAACGUUAUUAAGGCAAUUAAAAGAUUUAUGGCUGUGAAUAAGAAAACAUAUGUAAAAUCCAAUGCUUUGGGUUGUAUCCAACUAAAUUCUGCGCAGAGUAGACCCAUAGAAAAUAAUGGGCAAGCCUAACUUAGGUCCACUCAUUUCAAUGGCUCUGCUCUGAAUAGAAAUUUGUUGAAUACAACAGAGCGUUCUAAGGCAACAUAGAAAUAUAAUAUUGGUUGAUUCGUUUUGAGUGGGUUUUUAUACACUUUAAAAAAGUAUUUCAAAGAGAAAGUCCCUUUUAGGACAGAGAGGGGAGG
This 23793-nucleotide long non-coding RNA is filed under the name Podarcis lilfordi (Lilford's wall lizard). The record is from RNAcentral. Lineage: Eukaryota; Metazoa; Chordata; Lepidosauria; Squamata; Lacertidae.